RNAcentral lists this ribosomal RNA (301 nucleotides) under uncultured bacterium. Its description in RNAcentral is "partial 16S ribosomal RNA". It matches the Rfam family "Bacterial small subunit ribosomal RNA", at positions 509 to 809 of the family's 1533-position model. The record is from RNAcentral.
CAGCAGCCGCGGUAAUACGAGGGGGGCAAGCGUUGUUCGGAAUUAUUGGGCGUAAGGGGCGCGUAGGCGGUUUGGCAAGUUUGGUGUGAAAUCUUCGGGCUCAACUCGAAGUCUGCAUCGAAAACUGCCGGGCUUGAGUAUGGGAGAGGUGAGUGGAAUUUCCGGUGUAGCGGUGAAAUGCGUAGAUAUCGGAAGGAACACCUGUGGCGAAAGCGGCUCACUGGACCAUUACUGACGCUGAGGCGCGAAAGCUAGGGGAGCAAACAGGAUUAGAUACCCCAGUAGUCCCUGUCUCUUAUAA